Molecule: ribosomal RNA, 380 nt
Filed under: uncultured eukaryote
Lineage: Eukaryota
Description: partial 18S ribosomal RNA
Rfam family: Eukaryotic small subunit ribosomal RNA
Source: RNAcentral
CAAUAGCGUAUAUUAAAGUUGUUGCAGUUAAAAAGCUCGUAGUUGGAUUUGUGGCUGUCACGGGCGGCCUAUCACUUAGUGUUAGUGCUUGCCUGUGUCGCCAUCCUUGGGUGGAGCCCGUGUGGCAUUAGGUUGUCGUGCGGGGGAUGCCCAUCGUUUACUGUGAGAAAAUUAGAGUGUUCAAAGCAGGCUUAUGCCAUUGAAUAUGUUAGCAUGGAAUAAUAAGAUAGGACCUCGGUACUAUUUUGUUGGUUUGCGCACCGAGGUAAUGAUUAAUAGGGACAGUUGGGGGUAUUCGUAUUUCAUUGUCAGGGGUGAAAUUCUUGGAUUUCUGAAAGACGAACUACUGCGAAAGCAUUUACCAAGGAUGUUUUCAUUAA